UACGUAGGGUCCUAGCGUUGUCCGGAAUUAUUGGGCGUAAAGAGCUCGUAGGCGGUUUGUCGCGUCUGCUGUGAAAUCCCGAGGCUCAACCUCGGGUCUGCAGUGGGUACGGGCAGACUGGAGUGCGGUAGGGGAGAAUGGAAUUCCUGGUGUAGCGGUGGAAUGCGCAGAUAUCAGGAGGAACACCGAUGGCGAAGGCAGUUCUCUGGGCCGUAACUGACGCUGAGGAGCGAAAGCGUGGGGAGCGAACAGG
RNAcentral lists this ribosomal RNA (253 nucleotides) under uncultured bacterium. Its description in RNAcentral is "partial 16S ribosomal RNA". It matches the Rfam family "Bacterial small subunit ribosomal RNA", at positions 524 to 776 of the family's 1533-position model. The record is from RNAcentral.